Molecule: ribosomal RNA, 432 nt
Filed under: uncultured bacterium
Lineage: Bacteria
Description: partial 16S ribosomal RNA
Rfam family: Bacterial small subunit ribosomal RNA
Source: RNAcentral
AACGAACGCUGGCGGCAUGCCUAACACAUGCAAGUCGAACGAGACCUUCGGGUCUAGUGGCGCACGGGUGCGUAACGCGUGGGAACCUGCCCUUAGGUUCGGAAUAACUCCCCGAAAGGGGUGCUAAUACCGGAUAAUGUCUUCGGACCAAAGAUUUAUCGCCUUUGGAUGGGCCCGCGUUGGAUUAGCUAGUUGGUAGGGUAAAAGCCUACCAAGGCGACGAUCCAUAGCUGGUCUGAGAGGAUGAUCAGCCACACUGGGACUGAGGCACGGCCCAGACCCCUACGGGGGGCAGCAGGGGGGAAUAUUGGACAAUGGGCGAAAGCCUGAUCCAGCAAUGCCGGGGGAGUGAUGAAGGCCUUAGGGUUGUAAAGCUCUUUUACCCGGGAUGAUAAUGACAGUACCGGGAGAAUAAGCCCCGGCUAACCCCGU